AUGAGUGUUAUGGCUAAGACGAGGCCACAGAGAUAGGAGAUGGCGUCAGCCACCUCAGGACCGGGUCUUUGUAUAAGCAAGGUAGGGAUUGGCUGUCGUCUGCUUCUAGCUGGAGUAAGGGUGGCUAUAUAAUUGUGCCUGUUUGUGGAUGAAGAGACAGAAGCGAAGGAGCACCCCUGUGUACGAGCCAUAGACAGCUGCUCUCUUGAAGUGGCUAACUGGAGGAAAUACCAGGAGACUAUCAAAUAUCAGUUUGAUGCCUUCCAUGGAGAGAAGAGCACUCAGUGGGACAUCUAUGUAGGUUUAGUACAGCCCAUACUAAGGAACUUGCUGGAAGGGCAGAAUGCCAGUGUACUUGCCUAUGGACCGACUGGGGCAGGGAAGACACACAAUGUUGGGCAGCCCAGAACAGCCUGGAGUGAUUCCUCAGACUCUCCCAGACCUCCUGCACCUAACAAGGGAAGAGAAUGCUGAGGGCUGGCCAUGGGACAUUUCUGUUGCUUUGUGCUAUUUAGAUCUCUAACAGGAAAUAGUAUUAGACCUCUUGGAUCCUGCAUCAGAAGACCUAGUGUUCCGAGAAGGCUGACGAGGGAAAAUCCUGAUUCCAGGCCUCACACAGAAGCCCAUCACUAGUUUCUCUGACUUCGAGAAGCACUUCCUUCUAGUCAGUAGAAAUCGAGUUGUAGGAGCUACUCUGCUUAACCAGCGCUCUUGCCGUAGUCAUGCAGCGCUCUUGGUCAAGGUAGAUCAGCAUGAACGUUUGACUCCAUUUCGCCAGUGGGAAGGAAAACUCUACCUUAUUGAUUUGGCUGGUUCAGAGGACAACCGUCAGUCGCACAGGCAACCAGGGCAUUCUGCUCAAAGAGAGUGGAGCCAUCAACACCUCCCUCUUUGUACUGGGCAAAGUAGUGGAUGCAUUAAACCAAGGCCUCCCUCAUAUACCAUACCAGGACAGCAGGCUCACUCGUCUGUUGCAAGACUCUCUGAGAGGCUCAGCUCAUAGCAUCCUCAUUGUCAGCAUUGCUCCUGAAAGAUGUUUUUACCUGGAUACAAUCUCAGCAUUAAACUUCACUGCUAGGUCCAAGGAGGUGAUUAACCAGGCUUUCACCAAAGCGAGUGUACAACCUCAGGCCUUGACACCUGUUAAGCUGUCUCAGAAAGAUCUGCUAGGUUUAUCAGAGGCAAAGAAAGCCAAAGGCCCUCAAGAAGAAUCAACUGGGAGCCCUGAGUCUAUAGCAUCUCCAGCAUCUGCUUCCCAGAAACUAAGCAAUAUGGAUCUAGCCAUGUUGGGAAAGCUCCUGAGUAUGGAAUGUUUGCUGGGUUCCAAGGGGAGCCAGAGGAACCCUCUACUGAAUACCCCAAACGAGAGCGAAUGGUGCUCAUUAAGACGGUGGAGGACAAGAUAUUGGAGAUUGAGAGGCUUAAGAUGAAGCAAAAAGAACUGGAAGCCCAGGUGCUGGUCCAGGAAGCACUGCAUUCAAGGGAAAAGGAGAACACUCCUACAAUUCUCCAGUCCCCCUUCCUCUUGUAGUGGCACAGUGGCAAAGCCCCUGAAAAAAAGCUGUAGUUGAUGCCUCUUCAAGGGAUUCAGAUGCAGGCAGAGUCCUCAAACAAGAUCCACCUCUUGCAGAAAGGCCAUAAAAGGAAGCUGGCGCCAUCACAUGUGUCAGAGGCUGUGGAAAAGGAUGAGGGCUAUAGGGAGUUACAGAUUAGCCCAGAAUUACUGGCACAUGGGCUCAAAAUAAUUAUUGGAUCUGCUGAAUGAAGGCUCAGCUCGGGAUCUAUGCAGCCUGCAGCACAUCAGUCAGAAGAAGGCCCAGCUCAUCGUGGGCUGGAGGAAGCGCCAUGCCCCCUUAAGUGAGGUGGAGGACUAGGUACAGGUGGAAGGCAUCUCUGGAAAGCAGGUGGAGUCUUUCCUGAAGGCUUGGCUCUUGAAUCUCUUGGGCUUGGUGCCAGACAGUACCUCUUGACUACCAGCUCUUGA
Molecule: long non-coding RNA, 1984 nt
Filed under: Mus musculus (house mouse)
Lineage: Eukaryota; Metazoa; Chordata; Mammalia; Rodentia; Muridae
Description: long non-coding RNA chr1:67585052-67587036
Source: RNAcentral